GACGAACGCUGGCGGCGUGCUUAACACAUGCAAGUCGAACGAUGAAGCCUAGCUUGCUAGGUGGAUUAGUGGCGAACGGGUGAGUAAUACGUGAGUAACCUACCUUUAACUCUGGGAUAAGCCCGGGAAACUGGGUCUAAUACCGGAUACGACCAAUCUCCGCAUGGGGUGUUGGUGGAAAGCGUUAUGUAGUGGUUAUAGAUGGGCUCACGGCCUAUCAGCUUGUUGGUGAGGUAACGGCUCACCAAGGCGACGACGGGUAGCCGGCCUGAGAGGGUGACCGGCCACACUGGGACUGAGACACGGCCCAGACUCCUACGGGAGGCAGCAGUGGGGAAUAUUGCACAAUGGGCGCAAGCCUGAUGCAGCGACGCCGCGUGAGGGAUGACGGCCUUCGGGUUGUAAACCUCUGUUAGCAGGGAAGAAGAGAGAUUGACGGUACCUGCAGAGAAAGCGCCGGCUAACUACGUGCCAGCAGCCGCGGUAAUACGUAGGGCGCGAGCGUUGUCCGGAAUUAUUGGGCGUAAAGAGCUUGUAGGCGGUUUGUCGCGUCUGCUGUGAAAGGCCGGAGCUUAACUCCGUGUAUUGCAGUGGGUACGGGCAGACUAGAGUGCAGUAGGGGAGACUGGAAUUCCUGGUGUAGCGGUGGAAUGCGCAGAUAUCAGGAGGAACACCGAUGGCGAAGGCAGGGUCUCUGGGCUGUAACUGACGCUGAGAAGCGAAAGCAUGGGGAGCGAACAGG
This 742-nucleotide ribosomal RNA is filed under the name Rothia mucilaginosa. Its description in RNAcentral is "bacterial SSU rRNA". It matches the Rfam family "Bacterial small subunit ribosomal RNA", at positions 28 to 776 of the family's 1533-position model. The record is from RNAcentral. Lineage: Bacteria; Bacillati; Actinomycetota; Actinomycetes; Micrococcales; Micrococcaceae.